This is a small nucleolar RNA of Thunnus maccoyii (southern bluefin tuna), 69 nucleotides long. Lineage: Eukaryota; Metazoa; Chordata; Actinopteri; Scombriformes; Scombridae. The record is from RefSeq and is a predicted model, not a curated record.
UUUCCAUGAAGAUAACUUUGUCCAGUUCUGCUACUGAAUGGAAGUGAUGAUAAUUAAGACUCUGAGAAA